GGAGUUAGCCGGUGCUUCUUCUGCGAGUAACGUCACAGAUGUAAGGUAUUAACUUACACCCUUUCCUCCUCGCUGAAAGUGCUUUACAACCCGAAGGCCUUCUUCACACACGCGGCAUGGCUGCAUCAGGGUUUCCCCCAUUGUGCAAUAUUCCCCACUGCUGCCUCCCGUAGGAGUCUGGGCCGUGUCUCAGUCCCAGUGUGGCUGAUCAUCCUCUCAGACCAGCUAGGGAUCGUCGCCUAGGUGAGCCUUUACCUCACCUACUAGCUAAUCCCACCUGGGCUUAUCCAUCAGCGAAAGGCCCGAAGGUCCCCUGCUUUCCCCCGUAGGGCGUAUGCGGUAUUAGCAGUCGUUUCCAACUGUUAUCCCCCACAAAUGGGCAAAUUCCCAGGCAUUACUCACCCGUCCGCCGCUCGUCAUCUUCAAAAGCAAGCUUUUGAAAUGUUACCGCUCGACUUGCAUGUGUUAGGCCUGCCGCCACGCGUUCAUACUGAGCCAUAAUACAACUACUGA
RNAcentral lists this ribosomal RNA (513 nucleotides) under uncultured bacterium. RNAcentral describes it as "partial 16S ribosomal RNA". The record is from RNAcentral.